Molecule: ribosomal RNA, 252 nt
Filed under: uncultured bacterium
Lineage: Bacteria
Description: partial 16S ribosomal RNA
Rfam family: Bacterial small subunit ribosomal RNA
Source: RNAcentral
UACGGAGGAUGCGAGCGUUAUCCGGAUUUAUUGGGUUUAAAGGGUGCGUAGGCGGGCUUUUAAGUCAGCGGUAAAAAUUCGGGGCUCAACCCCGUCCGGCCGUUGAAACUGGGGGUCUUGAGUGGGCGAGAAGAAGGCGGAAUGCGUGGUGCAGCGGUGAAAUGCAUAGAUAUCACGCAGAACCCCGAUUGCGAAGGCAGCCUUCCGGCGCCCUACUGACGCUGAGGCACGAAAGUGCGGGGAUCGAACAGG